GUCGCAAGACUGAGACUCAGAAGGAGUUGACGGGGGGCCGCACAAAGCGGUGGAGCAGGGUGAGUCAAUUCGACGCGACGCGAAGAGCCUUACCUGGGCUCGAACGACUGGCCAACGGCGGCGGAAACGCUGCUACCCCGCAAGGGGGUCUAGUCGAGGUGCUGCAUGGCUGUCGUCAGCUCGUGUCGUGAGAUGUUGGGUUAAGUCCCGCAACGAGCGCAGCCCCUGUCCUGUGUUGCCAUGCCCGCAAGGGCGGAACUCGCAGGAGACCGCUACCGAUAAGGUGGAGGAAGGUGGGGAUGACGUCAAGUCCUCAUGGCCUUUAUGUCCAGGGCUACACACGUGCUACAAUGGACGGUACAAAGCGCCGCGAAGCCGCGAGGCGAAGCCAAUCGCAAAAAACCGUUCUCAGUUCGGAUUGCAGGCUGCAACUCGCCUGCAUGAAGCUGGAAUCGCUAGUAAUGGCGUAUCAGAACGACGCCGUGAAUACGUUCCCGGGCCUUGUACACACCGCCCGUCACAUCACGAAAGUGGAUUGUACUAGAAGUCUGCGUGCCGACCCGCGAGGGGGGCAGCGGCCCAAGGUAUGAUUCAUGAUUGGGGUGAAGUCGUAACAAGGUAGCCGUAGGAGAACCUGCGGCUGGAUCACC
RNAcentral lists this ribosomal RNA (650 nucleotides) under uncultured bacterium. Its description in RNAcentral is "bacterial SSU rRNA". It matches the Rfam family "Bacterial small subunit ribosomal RNA", at positions 885 to 1527 of the family's 1533-position model. The record is from RNAcentral.